Molecule: ribosomal RNA, 460 nt
Filed under: uncultured bacterium
Lineage: Bacteria
Description: partial 16S ribosomal RNA
Rfam family: Bacterial small subunit ribosomal RNA
Source: RNAcentral
CCUACGGGUGGCAGCAGUGAGGAAUAUUGGUCAAUGGACGAGAGUCUGAACCAGCCAAGUAGCGUGAAGGAUGACUGCCCUAUGGGUUGUAAACUUCUUUUAUAUGGGAAUAAAAUGUUCCACGUGUGGUCUUUUGUAUGUACCAUAUGAAUAAGGAUCGGCUAACUCCGUGCCAGCAGCCGCGGUAAUACGGAGGAUCCGAGCGUUAUCCGGAUUUAUUGGGUUUAAAGGGUGCGUAGGUGGAUUGUUAAGUCAGUGGUGAAAGUUUGCGGCUCAACCGGAAAAUUGCAGUUGAAACUGGCAGUCUUGAGUAUAGUAGAGGUGGGCGGAAUGUGUGGUGUAGCGGUGAAAUGCUUAGAUAUCACGAAGAACUCCGAUUGCGAAGGCAGCUCACUGGACUGCAACUGACAUUGAGGCUCGAAAGUGUGGGUAUCAAACAGGAUUAGAUACCCUUGUAGUC